Molecule: long non-coding RNA, 228 nt
Filed under: Carica papaya (papaya)
Lineage: Eukaryota; Viridiplantae; Streptophyta; Magnoliopsida; Brassicales; Caricaceae
Description: long non-coding RNA (CPAP_LNC002494)
Source: RNAcentral
UGAGCCUUCAGGCUGGACAUGAUCCUUUAACCUAGAUAUGUAAAAAAGGGGCCUACGGGCUGGGUAAGUUAUGAAAUCCCUAUGGAUACGAAAAACAGUUGCUUUGAACAUGUAGUAUGCAUAUGAAAACAAAUAUGAAAUUGUGUGACCAUGAAAUAAACAAGUGAAAAGAAUGAAAAAUCCUUUCGACCAUUAUUUCUGAGGGGUUUCUAUUUCUCUUUCCUCUGA